RNAcentral lists this ribosomal RNA (256 nucleotides) under uncultured bacterium. RNAcentral's name for it is "partial 16S ribosomal RNA". It matches the Rfam family "Bacterial small subunit ribosomal RNA", at positions 524 to 777 of the family's 1533-position model. The record is from RNAcentral.
UACGAGGGGGGCUAGCGUUGCUCGGAAUUACUGGGCGUAAAGGGCGCGUAGGCGGGUCGUUUAAGUUAGAGGUGAAAGCCCAGGGCUCAACCCUGGAAUUGCCUUUAAAUACUGGCGGCCUUGAGUAUGGCAGAGGUGUGUGGAACUCCGAGUGUAGAGGUGAAAUUCGUAGAUAUUCGGAAGAACACCAGUGGCGAAGGCGACACACUGGGCCAUUACUGACGCUGAGGCGCGAAAGCGUGGGGAGCAAACAGGG